UCCCGGAAUGUAACCGUGGGCCCGGAAGCGACCCUCUCCGGCGGCACGGAAAGGCCCCCCGGCCGGUGCGCUAGCCACCACCCCCAGCUGCCCCACGUGCCGGAGCCCUAGUGAAAGCUCGGGCGCCGUGGUCCCUGCCCCGGGCUUUGCCGCGCGCUACGCGGAGCGGGCAGCUGGAGCCGCUGCGGAGAGCGGCGAGGGGUGCUGGGCAAGCAGGGAGGGGUCUCUGGGAAACCCUGUGGAAAGACAGCUCCACAGGCUGCUAACCGGAUGGAGGGACCAUUGCACACCAGCUCUCUGUUCUGUUAUGUUGACCAGGCCAGACGAGUCUGGAGUAUUUCUACCCUGUAUACACACAUUUCCAAAAAGGUCCUUCUUCCUCCCCGUGAGCAGAAGGUACAAAAGGAGGAGACCAAAGAGAAGAGGAGGGUGCAGAGCAAGUAU
This is a long non-coding RNA of Artibeus jamaicensis (Jamaican fruit-eating bat), 444 nucleotides long. RefSeq lists it as uncharacterized. The record is from RefSeq and is a predicted model, not a curated record. Lineage: Eukaryota; Metazoa; Chordata; Mammalia; Chiroptera; Phyllostomidae. The transcript has 3 exons.